AAUGAACGCUGGCGGCGUGCCUAACACAUGCAAGUCGAGCGAGAAAGCUCCUUCGGGAGUGAGUAAAGCGGCGAACGGUUGAGUAACACGUGAGAAUUUACCCUUUAGUGAGGAAUACCCUCGAGAAAUCGAGGUUAAUACUGCAUACGUCCCUUCGGGGAGAAAGGUGGCCUCUUUGCUGCCGCUGAAGGAUAAGCUUGCGGGCUAUCAGUUUGUUGGUGAGGUAAUGGCUCACCAAGACGAUGACGGCUAGCCGGCCUGAGAGGGUGUACGGCCAGACUGGAACUUAGAUACGGUCCAGACUCCUACGGGAGGCAGCAGUGGGGAAUAUUGCGCAAUGGGCGAAAGCCUGACGCAGCGACGCCGCGUGGGGA
Molecule: ribosomal RNA, 374 nt
Filed under: uncultured bacterium
Lineage: Bacteria
Description: bacterial SSU rRNA
Rfam family: Bacterial small subunit ribosomal RNA
Source: RNAcentral